RNAcentral lists this unclassified non-coding RNA (207 nucleotides) under Hevea brasiliensis (rubber tree). The record is from RNAcentral. Lineage: Eukaryota; Viridiplantae; Streptophyta; Magnoliopsida; Malpighiales; Euphorbiaceae.
AAUAUUGUUGCUGUUCCAGAUUUUAACAUGGGAGCAAUGGAAAACAAGAGCUUGAAUAUAUUCAAUUCCAAGCUUGUCCUGGCAUCCCCAGAAACUGCAACAGAUGCUGAUUAUGCGGCUAUAUUGGGUGUGAUUGGACAUGAGUACUUCCACAAUUGGACAGGCAACAGAGUUACAUGUCGUGACUGGUUCCAGCUCAGUUUAAAG